Molecule: ribosomal RNA, 462 nt
Filed under: uncultured bacterium
Lineage: Bacteria
Description: partial 16S ribosomal RNA
Rfam family: Bacterial small subunit ribosomal RNA
Source: RNAcentral
GAUGAACGCUGACAGAAUGCUUAACACAUGCAAGUCAUUGGCGAAGCUGCGCUUGCGCAGUCUAGCCAAGGCGGACGGGUGAGUAACGCGUCAGGAACUUGCCCUGCAGACAGGGAUAACAGACGGAAACGACUGAUAGCACCUGGUAUUGUCAGGCUGGCGCAUGCCGGCCUGAUGAAAGGAGACGCUGCAGGAGAGCCUUGCGUCCUAUUAGCCAGUUGGUGGGGUAAGGGCCCACCAAGGCGAGGAUUGGUAGCCGGCCUGAGGGGGUGAACGGCCACAGGGGGACGGAGAUACGGCACUGACUCCUGCGGGAGGCAGCAGUGGGGAAUAGUGGACAAGGGGGGCAACCCUGAUCCAGCAAUUCUGUGUGCACGAAGAAGGUUUGCGGAGUGUAAAGUGCUUUCAGCAGGGAAGAAGAAAGUGACGGUACCUGCAGAAGAAGCGACGGCUAAAUACGUG